GAUGAACGCUGGCGGCGUGCCUAAUACAUGCAAGUCGAGCGAACAGACGAGGAGCUUGCUCCUCUGACGUUAGCGGCGGACGGGUGAGUAACACGUGGAUAACCUACCUAUAAGACUGGGAUAACUUCGGGAAACCGGAGCUAAUACCGGAUAAUAUAUUGAACCGCAUGGUUCAAUAGUGAAAGACGGUUUUGCUGUCACUUAUAGAUGGAUCCGCGCCGCAUUAGCUAGUUGGUAAGGUAACGGCUUACCAAGGCGACGAUGCGUAGCCGACCUGAGAGGGUGAUCGACCACACUGGAACUGAGACACGGUCCAGACUCCUACGGGAGGCAGCAGUAGGGAAUCUUCCGCAAUGGGCGAAAGCCUGACGGAGCAACGCCGCGUGAGUGAUGAAGGUCUUCGGAUCGUAAAACUCUGUUAUUAGGGAAGAACAAAUGUGUAAGUAACUAUGCACGUCUUGACGGUACCUAAUCAGAAAGCCACGGCUAACUACGUG
Molecule: ribosomal RNA, 497 nt
Filed under: uncultured bacterium
Lineage: Bacteria
Description: partial 16S ribosomal RNA
Rfam family: Bacterial small subunit ribosomal RNA
Source: RNAcentral